AUUGAACGCUGGCGGCAUGCCUUACACAUGCAAGUCGAACGGCAGCGGGGGAGAAGCUUGCUUUUCCUGCCGGCGAGUGGCGAACGGGUGAGUAAUACAUCGGAACGUGCCCUGUAGUGGGGGAUAACUAGUCGAAAGAUUAGCUAAUACCGCAUACGACCUGAGGGUGAAAGUGGGGGACCGCAAGGCCUCAUGCUAUAGGAGCGGCCGAUGUCUGAUUAGCUAGUUGGUGGGGUAAAGGCCUACCAAGGCGACGAUCAGUAGCUGGUCUGAGCGGACGAUCAGCCACACUGGGACUGAGCAACGGCCCAGACUCCUACGGGAGGCAGCAGUGGGGAAUUUUGGACAAUGGGCGAAAGCCUGAUCCAGCAAUGCCGCGUGUGUGAAGAAGGCCUUCGGGUUGUAAAGCACUUUUGUCCGGAAAGAAAUGGCUCUGGUUAAUACCUGGGGUCGAUGACGGUACCGGAAGAAUAAGGACCGGCUAACUACGUGCCAGCAGCCGCCGUAA
RNAcentral lists this ribosomal RNA (508 nucleotides) under uncultured bacterium. RNAcentral describes it as "partial 16S ribosomal RNA". It matches the Rfam family "Bacterial small subunit ribosomal RNA", at positions 30 to 523 of the family's 1533-position model. The record is from RNAcentral.